UACGGGGGGGGUAAGCGUUGUUCGGAAUUACUGGGCGUAAAGGGCUCGUAGGCGGCCAACUAAGUCAGACGUGAAAUCCCUCAGCUUAACUGGGGAGCUGCGUCUGAUACUGGAUGGCUUGGAUUCGGGAGAGGAAUGCGGAAUUCCAGGUGUAGCGGUGAAAUGCGUAGAUAUCUGGAGGAACACCGGUGGCGAAGGCGGCAUUCUGGACCGAGAUUGACGCUGAUGAGCGAAAGCUAGGGAGCAAACGGG
This 252-nucleotide ribosomal RNA is filed under the name uncultured bacterium. Its description in RNAcentral is "partial 16S ribosomal RNA". It matches the Rfam family "Bacterial small subunit ribosomal RNA", at positions 524 to 776 of the family's 1533-position model. The record is from RNAcentral.